UUUAAUUCUUAUUUAUUAUGACCGCCACCAAACUCAGAACGUUUGUCUCUAUUUUAUAGAUUAAAAAAAGAAAAGCUGGAGCUUAAAGGAGCUAAACACCCUGCCAAGUUGGCACACCCUAACUACCAACUGUCAGAGUUUGGGUGUGAGCCCACAUACGCCUGAAUCCAAGUCUUAACCACUCUACCCUCCAACCUCCCAUUGCAUACCUUUCUCCCAACUCUCCAGGUCCCACACCUAACUUUGGUCAACAUUUACCAGUUAACCGUUCUGAAACAUUUGACAUCGUCACCAAGAACCCAAAGCCAGUGACUCUCUCCAGCCUUGGUUGGACCAUAGCCCAUACCUACUCUUCUUUCUUGGUUCCACUAGAGUUCCAGUUUUGGUUUUGAAGGCCAUGGCUUCAAAUGUAGACCUGAAGGCAGCUAUGAGGUCACUUCCGUUUUCCUACUUGAUUUCCAAUAUGCUGCAAGAGUGAUUUGGUACUACUAAGUUUUUUGCCUGAGGUUGUACCAAUGAUAGCUUCCUUCCCCCAUCAUAAUUUAACCCAUUUGUAUUCACUUCAUGCUUCUCCUUCACUUGAAACUAUUCCCAACCUCUGUUUCUGGGCACUUCUAGCCUCUCUGUAGUUUGUCACUGAUGCCUUAAGGAAUCUUUAGGGAUCAUUCAUUUGUUCAGUUGUUUAAUGAGAACCUACUAUGUGUAAGCCCCUGAGCUAUGAAAAUAAAAAUGAUUAAGACA
Long non-coding RNA from Felis catus (domestic cat), 741 nucleotides. RefSeq lists it as uncharacterized. The transcript has 2 exons. The record is from RefSeq and is a predicted model, not a curated record. NCBI's taxonomy places the organism in Eukaryota, Metazoa, Chordata, Mammalia, Carnivora, Felidae.